This 107-nucleotide small RNA is filed under the name Haemonchus placei. RNAcentral describes it as "SL2 RNA". It matches the Rfam family "SL2 RNA". Rfam says of the family: This family represents SL2 RNA. Lineage: Eukaryota; Metazoa; Nematoda; Chromadorea; Rhabditida; Trichostrongylidae. The record is from Rfam by way of RNAcentral.
GGUUAUAACCCAGUAUCAAAAGGUACUAAGGGCUUCUGACCAGCCUUCAAGGUUGUGUCGAAACCGAAAUUUUUGGAUAGCCUUUCCGGGGGUUCCGGGAGGGCANN